CAAUAGACAAUUUAUAUAAAACAUUAAUUUCUGAAAUUAACGUCAAAGGUGCCCUCCCCUCUACCGA
This 67-nucleotide transfer RNA is filed under the name Engaewa subcoerulea. Its description in RNAcentral is "tRNA-Pro". Lineage: Eukaryota; Metazoa; Arthropoda; Malacostraca; Decapoda; Parastacidae. The record is from RNAcentral.